This 73-nucleotide transfer RNA is filed under the name Syntrophomonas wolfei subsp. wolfei str. Goettingen G311. RNAcentral describes it as "Syntrophomonas wolfei subsp. wolfei str. Goettingen tRNA". It matches the Rfam family "tRNA". Rfam says of the family: Transfer RNA (tRNA) molecules are approximately 80 nucleotides in length. Their secondary structure includes four short double-helical elements and three loops (D, anti-codon, and T loops). Further hydrogen bonds mediate the characteristic L-shaped molecular structure. tRNAs have two regions of fundamental functional importance: the anti-codon, which is responsible for specific mRNA codon recognition, and the 3' end, to which the tRNAs corresponding amino acid is attached (by aminoacyl-tRNA synthetases). tRNAs cope with the degeneracy of the genetic code in two manners: having more than one tRNA (with a specific anti-codon) for a particular amino acid; and 'wobble' base-pairing, i.e. permitting non-standard base-pairing at the 3rd anti-codon position. Lineage: Bacteria; Bacillati; Bacillota; Clostridia; Eubacteriales; Syntrophomonadaceae. The record is from Rfam by way of RNAcentral.
GCCUCGGUAGCUCAGGUGGUAGAGCAGCGGACUGAAAAUCCGCGUGUCGGUGGUUCAAGUCCGCCCCGAGGCA